GACGAACGCUGGCGGCGUGCUUAACACAUGCAAGUCGAACGGAAAGGCCCUGCUUGCGGGGUACUCGAGUGGCGAACGGGUGAGUAACACGUGGGUGAUCUGCCCUGCACUUCGGGAUAAGCUUGGGAAACUGGGUCUAAUACCGGAUAGGAGCCAUCUUUAGUGUGGUGGUUGGAAAGUUUUUUCGGUGUAGGAUGAGCUCGCGGCCUAUCAGCUUGUUGGUGGGGUAAUGGCCUACCAAGGCGGCGACGGGUAGCCGGCCUGAGAGGGUGUACGGCCACAUUGGGACUGAGAUACGGCCCAGACUCCUACGGGAGGCAGCAGUGGGGAAUAUUGCACAAUGGGCGCAAGCCUGAGGCAGCGACGCCGCGUGGGGGAUGAAGGCCUUCGGGUUGUAAACUCCUUUCGCUAGGGACGAAGCUUUUUUGUGACGGUACCUAGAUAAGAAGCACCGGCUAACUACGUG
RNAcentral lists this ribosomal RNA (466 nucleotides) under uncultured bacterium. RNAcentral's name for it is "partial 16S ribosomal RNA". It matches the Rfam family "Bacterial small subunit ribosomal RNA", at positions 28 to 507 of the family's 1533-position model. The record is from RNAcentral.